This 301-nucleotide ribosomal RNA is filed under the name uncultured bacterium. RNAcentral's name for it is "partial 16S ribosomal RNA". It matches the Rfam family "Bacterial small subunit ribosomal RNA", at positions 509 to 807 of the family's 1533-position model. The record is from RNAcentral.
CAGCAGCCGCGGUAAUACGUAGGGUGCAAGCGUUAAUCGGAAUUACUGGGCGUAAAGCGUGCGCAGGCGGUGAUGUAAGACAGUUGUGAAAUCCCCGGGCUCAACCUGGGAACUGCAUCUGUGACUGCAUUGCUGGAGUGCGGCAGAGGGGGAUGGAAUUCCGCGUGUAGCAGUGAAAUGCGUAGAUAUGCGGAGGAACACCGAUGGCGAAGGCAAUCCCCUGGGCCUGCACUGACGCCCAUGCACGAAAGCGUGGGGAGCAAACAGGAUUAGAUACCCCAGUAGUCCCUGUCUCUUAUAC